AUUGAACGCUGGCGGCAGGCCUAACACAUGCAAGUCGAGCGGAUGAAGGGAGCUUGCUCCUGGAUUCAGCGGCGGACGGGUGAGUAAUGCCUAGGAAUCUGCCUGGUAGUGGGGGAUAACGUCCGGAAACGGGCGCUAAUACCGCAUACGUCCUGAGGGAGAAAGUGGGGGAUCUUCGGACCUCACGCUAUCAGAUGAGCCUAGGUCGGAUUAGCUAGUUGGUGGGGUAAAGGCCUACCAAGGCGACGAUCCGUAACUGGUCUGAGAGGAUGAUCAGUCACACUGGAACUGAGACACGGGCCAGACUCCUACGGGAGGCAGCAGUGGGGAAUAUUGGACAAUGGGCGAAAGCCUGAUCCAGCCAUGCCGCGGGUGUGAAGAAGGUCUUCGGAUUGGAAAGCACUUUAAGUUGGGAGGAAGGGCAGUAAGUUAAUACCUUGCUGUUUUGACGUUACCAACAGAAUAAGCACCGGCUAACUUCGUG
This 484-nucleotide ribosomal RNA is filed under the name uncultured bacterium. Its description in RNAcentral is "partial 16S ribosomal RNA". It matches the Rfam family "Bacterial small subunit ribosomal RNA", at positions 30 to 507 of the family's 1533-position model. The record is from RNAcentral.